Molecule: ribosomal RNA, 397 nt
Filed under: uncultured bacterium
Lineage: Bacteria
Description: partial 16S ribosomal RNA
Rfam family: Bacterial small subunit ribosomal RNA
Source: RNAcentral
AUACGUAGGGGGCGAGCGUUGUCCGGAAUGAUUGGGCGUAAAGGGCGCGUAGGCGGCCCGGUAAGUCUGGAGUGAAAGUCCUGUUUUUAAGAUGGGAAUUGCUUUGGAUACUGUCGGGCUUGAGUGCAGGAGAGGUAAGUGGAAUUCCCAGUGUAGCGGUGAAAUGCGUAGAGAUUGGGAGGAACACCAGUGGCGAAGGCGACUUACUGGACUGUAACUGACGCUGAGGCGCGAAAGUGUGGGGAGCAAACAGGAUUAGAUACCCUGGUAGUCCACACGGUAAACGAUGAAUGCUAGGUGUAGGGGGUAUCGACCCCUUCUGUGCCGCAGUCAACACAAUAAGCAUUCCGCCUGGGGAGUACGGCCGCAAGGUUGAAACUCAAAGGAAUUGACGGGG